Long non-coding RNA from Megalobrama amblycephala (Wuchang bream), 2382 nucleotides. RefSeq lists it as uncharacterized. The transcript has 5 exons. NCBI's taxonomy places the organism in Eukaryota, Metazoa, Chordata, Actinopteri, Cypriniformes, Xenocyprididae. The record is from RefSeq and is a predicted model, not a curated record.
CGAUGCUCCAUUGGGUUACCAUUAGCAACAUAACAAAACAGACAGCAGAGAAACAUCAACAAGGAAGAGGAAUUGCACGCUUGCUCAUUCUUUCUCACUAAGUCUGAGACAGUCAUGGUUCACUCUCUUGACAGCUGUUUGACAUUACGGGUAAUGCUGCGUUCAGUGGACGGAGAGGGACUGUGAAUUCCUGGAGGAAGACUCAGGAGUUGGGACAGUGCAUGCAGAGACUAGGUUUGAUGGCCCCCGUGUUCCCUUCUGAUGCAGCAGAGGAGAGAGAUGUCCUCUGCUCCAGACGAUAAACUCCACCCUGGCGCUCUACUGAAGUUCAUCAUCACAGGAGGACUUGCCAUCUGGACGGGCGCUGAGACCUAAGAGAAUAAACGAAUACGCCCCUGCCAAAAUAAAUACCACACACACAUGGUCUCGGGCUGCUUUGAGAUGAAUAUGCUGGAGCCGAGGUGCCACUACAACAAGGGCAGGGCAUCAGGGCACCGAAAGCUGGAGAGUCAACAAAGCACAUGAAACAUUUAGAGUCUGAUUUCCCCAACACCCUCACAAAGCAUUACCUUUGACAGCCUAGAAAGAAAGCAAGUGGGAUGCAUUAGCGACGGAAAACUGAGCGGCUUGUUCAUAAUUCAAUAAAAUGGAUGGAUUUGAUUAUUCUCUUCCAAAAAAUGAGGUAAAAGCAAGUUUUUCUUUGAGCUAAGGAUUAAUCACACUGUCAGAAGUUCUUAUUCCUUGCCGACAUGUCAUGCAGCUCAUUUCUGCCUCAGUGUGAAAAAAUAAAAAGGUAGCUAUGGCCCUAAUUUAUUUCUCAUUAUUGGGAUUUUUUUAAACUGCCAAUUUAUAUCUCAUAUUUAUUUAUCAUAAUUGCGACUUUUUCUUAGAAUUGCGACUUCAUAUGUCACGUUUACGAGUUCACACUUACAAAUAAUCGGAUAGAGUAAUGAGAAUGAGUAUUUGGCAUGCUGUCUGAGCUCGGUAUUUUGGCCCAAACCCAGAGUACUCCACCCCUAUCCCUAGAUGGGAUCGGAAACCAGCCAAGAAUGAAGAGUCAGGGUGGCGGAGGGAUGCAAAAAACUGUCGAAGAACAUAGUGGCAGAAAUGGUAUUCCAUACAAACCACCUUUGUGUGCAGCAAGUGAAACUCAAGGAUACAAUGCCUAGAUGGAUAUAUCCCACACAAAUCCAUGUCUGGCUUCUCUCAGAGGCCUCGUGUCAAAAACUGUUCAUUAAUGUCAUGUAUCCCUCAGUAAUCACAUUCCAUGUGGAGAAUUCCUGUUGACACUCAAUUACCAGCUGGUACCAAAUGAACCAGCAGUACUGUACACAUUGAUAUCAACUCUAUUAAUGUUAUAAAAAAGUGGAUUGGAUACAUAUCUGCUCUUUUAUGAGCUUCAUAUGUUUAUAAUCAGAUCUCAGUGCUGCACAACAUGUUUUGUAUGGCCAAGAUCUAAAAAAUAGUUGUACUCGGCAACAUGCACGUUAUUAAAUCUAUUUCUAAUUCAAGCUUGUGUGUGUGUUCUGGUGGUUUUUGUGAAAUAUUAUCUGGUGUUUCUUCAUUAAAUUCUGAAUAUAGCUUUCACAGCGUCUACCAGGGCAUUCGCUAUAUACUUUCAAACAGAUUAUGGUUUACAGUUUCAGCUCAACCUCAAUUAGAACACUGGACAUUUGAGAGGUUUCCAUGCCAGAGUCAUCCAGCACAAUGCUAAGAAACAGCAACAUGAACUUCAGAGAGGGGCUCAAGAAUUUGGCGCCAUUUGUGGAAUUGGUGUCUGCUUGGGUCGAGGAAAGGAACAGCCCUGUGAUUACUGAGCUUAUCAAUUAUAGCACCAAGGCCGCUGAACUCCUACCCGACUCUAUGCAAUUUCUAAGAGCGUGGCGUAUUGGAUUCCAGCUGGCUGUUUUGAUUAGUAAGUGUCCAUUUUUGUGUAAAGCAAAGACUUCCUGUUGCGCAGGGGAAACAAUGGCCCUCCCAUGUCUGCCUGAACCCCGGUGGCUACUUUAAUAAAAACAUCUUUCCCAGUUGGCUUAAAAGGUGGGGGAGACGUAAUGUUUUCAGACAGUGUACAAAGACAGUCUUGUAUCACCCAAGUAUCGCUGCGUACUGUUCUGUUUCUCUCAGAUCUUCGCACCCUUGAGCAAGAUGUGUUCUUAACCCCCCACUCAGGUCGUGCACAGUGAGUCGAGUAUCUGCUAUAUUGAUCGAUUCACAUGCACACGUAAGAGGGGCCUCAGUUUUACGUCUAGGAUAGUGGACUUGUGUUCAAAAUUCUUUUCAGAAGGGAAAUGACUAUUAACAGGCAGCCUGGGGUGGGUUUGCAUUUCCUCUCUGCGUUAACACUCCAUAAAGCUGAUCCAUGAAAAAAAAAGUCACGGC